Molecule: long non-coding RNA, 1047 nt
Filed under: Sus scrofa (pig)
Lineage: Eukaryota; Metazoa; Chordata; Mammalia; Artiodactyla; Suidae
Description: lncRNA (ENSSSCG00025016373.1)
Source: RNAcentral
CAAACCCAAGUCCUCAUGGGUAUUAGUCGGGUUCUUAACCCCUAAGCCAUGACAGGAAUUCCUUUUUUUUUUUUUCUUUUUUGUCAUUGUAGGCCAGCACCUGUGGCAAAGAGAAAUGUUUUAAAGAAAACAGAGGUCAAGUAAAGACUAGCUAUACAAGAAAUAAUGCAUAUUUUACAUUGUUCCAUUUUUCAGUGCCUAUCAUAUAUGGGGCUCUGUAAGCAAUCCCCUAAAUAGAAUUCUGAAAUUUCAUUGAAAUUGGCCUACAAAAUUGACAUUCUCUCCUGGUCUACCUUAUUGCCUCCAUUUUUUCUUACACGUUUUACUCUCAUACACACAUACAAAUGCUAAAAUGGUAGUUUUCAGCAAGGCACGUUGAAACUAUAUGAAAUUUAACUCCCCUAUUUUCUAUUUAUUCCCAUCAUGACACUCUGCCCAGGAGAAAGUCUUUUUUCAGGUCAGUAGAGAAAUACCAAUGAUUAUCACUAUAAACACAAUCAAGAAUAUCCAUCAGGUUUAUAAUUGAAAACAGAAAAAAUACUUACAUAAGAUCUUUUUUAAGAGAGAAAAAAAUUUACGGGAAAGAUGGAUGCUUCUAUCUAAGUUUUGAUAAGGUACACCGGUAUUUCAUUUUAGUUCUGGUUUUCUUGUAGUGAUAUUCUCAUUGCUUUAUCAGAAUAGACAAUAAAAGAUGAAUAUUUACCCUCUUCAUUCAGAGAUAACUUUUUCACCACUGAAUCCUGAGGGCUAAAAAAUUCAGAGCUCUGAUCAGAAGUGGAAUCAAAGUCACGUGUUGAGGUGCUAAAAUUAUUUUUACUACAAUAGCUAUUCAAAUCCUUGUGAGAGCUGAGCUCCUGUUUUCUGAUCUGUGAUAUCAAAGAUGUAUAAUUCUGGGAGCUCUUUGAUUCCGGCCUUGAGGUGUUUUCAGAACUGCUUGGAUUUUUCUGCGGAUGCUUUCCACUGGGUCAUGUCGCUUCUCAGUUGUCUUCUUUGCAGAGGCCAUUGCUGACCUUCCUCCUGAGACAGAUGAAGUGGUUAAGGUACAGG